Molecule: long non-coding RNA, 368 nt
Organism: Arabidopsis thaliana (thale cress)
Lineage: Eukaryota; Viridiplantae; Streptophyta; Magnoliopsida; Brassicales; Brassicaceae
Product: other RNA
Exons: 1
Source: RefSeq
UUACAUAACAUUUGACUGGGCCAGUCAUUAUUAAUCUCAGCCCAAAACAUAAAAAAUAUUUGUACCCUAUAUAAUAAGAUCGAAACGGACGGCUGAGAUUGCAUCCUAUGUUUUGCAGUUUUUUGAGUCGGUCAUCGAAUCCGAAAAGCGGAAAAGGCUUUCUCACGUAAUAAAUUAAGCUUGUAGAGGGUAGAUUCGUAACUAAGCAGCGUGUUUUCCUUUUUUCGGGUUGAGAAUCGGACCCAGAACAGCCAAUUUUAAUUCCGGGUCGGGUUAUAAACCUCUAUAUAUAUGGUAAAGCCCGCUUCUUUGUCACCCGCUUCACGAUUUCUUCUUCUUCGUCGUCUUCUCUCCCAAUCGUCCAAUUA